GAUGAACGCUGGCGGCGUGCUUAACACAUGCAAGUCGAACGAUGAAGCCCAGCUUGCUGGGUGGAUUAGUGGCGAACGGGUGAGUAACACGUGAGUAACCUGCCCUUAACUCUGGGAUAAGCCUGGGAAACUGGGUCUAAUACCGGAUAGGAGCGUCCACCGCAUGGUGGGUGUUGGAAAGAUUUAUCGGUUUUGGAUGGACUCGCGGCCUAUCAGCUUGUUGGUGAGGUAAUGGCUCACCAAGGCGACGACGGGUAGCCGGCCUGAGAGGGUGACCGGCCACACUGGGACUGAGACACGGCCCAGACUCCUACGGGAGGCAGCAGUGGGGAAUAUUGCACAAUGGGCGCAAGCCUGAUGCAGCGACGCCGCGUGAGGGAUGACGGCCUUCGGGUUGUAAACCUCUUUCAGUAGGGAAGAAGCGAAAGUGACGUUACCUUCAGAAGAAGCACCGGCUAACUACGUG
RNAcentral lists this ribosomal RNA (466 nucleotides) under uncultured bacterium. RNAcentral's name for it is "partial 16S ribosomal RNA". It matches the Rfam family "Bacterial small subunit ribosomal RNA", at positions 28 to 507 of the family's 1533-position model. The record is from RNAcentral.